Molecule: ribosomal RNA, 499 nt
Filed under: uncultured Glomeromycotina
Lineage: Eukaryota; Fungi; Glomeromycota
Description: SSU rRNA
Rfam family: Eukaryotic small subunit ribosomal RNA
Source: RNAcentral
UGGAGGGCAAGUCUGGUGCCAGCAGCCGCGGUAAUUCCAGCUCCAAUAGCGUAUAUUAAAGUUGUUGCAGUUAAAAAGCUCGUAGUUGAAUUUCGGGAUCAAUACGUCGGUCGUGCCUUCGGUACGNACUGGNGUCGUUGAUUNCUCCCUUCUGAUGAAACAUGAUGUCAUUAAUUUGAUGUUGUGGGGAGUCAGGACUGUUACUUUGAAAAAAUUAGAGUGUUUAAAGCAGGCAAACGCUUGAAUACAUUAGCAUGGAAUAAUGAAAUAGGACGUUCGAACCUAUUUUGUUGGUUUCUAGGUACAACGUAAUGAUUAAUAGGGAUAGUUGGGGGCAUUAGUAUUCAAUUGUCAGAGGUGAAAUUCUUGGAUUUAUUGAAGACUAACUACUGCGAAAGCAUUUGCCAAGGAUGUUUUCAUUAAUCAAGAACGAAAGUUAGGGGAUCGAAGACGAUCAGAUACCGUCGUAGUCUUAACCAUAAACUAUGCCGACUAGGGA